RNAcentral lists this ribosomal RNA (119 nucleotides) under Aristolochia ringens. RNAcentral's name for it is "partial 5.8S ribosomal RNA". It matches the Rfam family "5.8S ribosomal RNA", at positions 41 to 154 of the family's 154-position model. Rfam says of the family: 5.8S ribosomal RNA (5.8S rRNA) is a component of the large subunit of the eukaryotic ribosome. It is transcribed by RNA polymerase I as part of the 45S precursor that also contains 18S and 28S rRNA. RNAcentral also lists the same sequence under 2 other names. Lineage: Eukaryota; Viridiplantae; Streptophyta; Magnoliopsida; Piperales; Aristolochiaceae. The record is from RNAcentral.
GAACGCAGCGAAAUGCGAUACUUGGUGUGAAUUGCAGAAUCCCGCGAACCAUCGAGUCUUUGAACGCAAGUUGCACCCGAGGCCACUAGGUCGAGGGUACACCUGCCUGGGCGUCACGC